This 1668-nucleotide ribosomal RNA is filed under the name Escherichia coli. RNAcentral's name for it is "partial 23S ribosomal RNA". It matches the Rfam family "Bacterial large subunit ribosomal RNA", at positions 1279 to 2925 of the family's 2925-position model. The record is from RNAcentral. Lineage: Bacteria; Pseudomonadati; Pseudomonadota; Gammaproteobacteria; Enterobacterales; Enterobacteriaceae.
GUAUCAGAAGUGCGAAUGCUGACAUAAGUAACGAUAAAGCGGGUGAAAAGCCCGCUCGCCGGAAGACCAAGGGUUCCUGUCCAACGUUAAUCGGGGCAGGGUGAGUCGACCCCUAAGGCGAGGCCGAAAGGCGUAGUCGAUGGGAAACAGGUUAAUAUUCCUGUACUUGGUGUUACUGCGAAGGGGGGACGGAGAAGGCUAUGUUGGCCGGGCGACGGUUGUCCCGGUUUAAGCGUGUAGGCUGGUUUUCCAGGCAAAUCCGGAAAACCAAGGCUGAGGCGUGAUGACGAGGCACUACGGUGCUGAAGCAACAAAUGCCCUGCUUCCAGGAAAAGCCUCUAAGCAUCAGGUAACAUCAAAUCGUACCCCAAACCGACACAGGUGGUCAGGUAGAGAAUACCAAGGCGCUUGAGAGAACUCGGGUGAAGGAACUAGGCAAAAUGGUGCCGUAACUUCGGGAGAAGGCACGCUGAUAUGUAGGUGAAGCGACUUGCUCGUGGAGCUGAAAUCAGUCGAAGAUACCAGCUGGCUGCAACUGUUUAUUAAAAACACAGCACUGUGCAAACACGAAAGUGGACGUAUACGGUGUGACGCCUGCCCGGUGCCGGAAGGUUAAUUGAUGGGGUUAGCGGUAACGCGAAGCUCUUGAUCGAAGCCCCGGUAAACGGCGGCCGUAACUAUAACGGUCCUAAGGUAGCGAAAUUCCUUGUCGGGUAAGUUCCGACCUGCACGAAUGGCGUAAUGAUGGCCAGGCUGUCUCCACCCGAGACUCAGUGAAAUUGAACUCGCUGUGAAGAUGCAGUGUACCCGCGGCAAGACGGAAAGACCCCGUGAACCUUUACUAUAGCUUGACACUGAACAUUGAGCCUUGAUGUGUAGGAUAGGUGGGAGGCUUUGAAGUGUGGACGCCAGUCUGCAUGGAGCCGACCUUGAAAUACCACCCUUUAAUGUUUGAUGUUCUAACGUGGGCCCCUUACCGGGGUUGCGGACAGUGUCUGGUGGGUAGUUUGACUGGGGCGGUCUCCUCCUAAAGAGUAACGGAGGAGCACGAAGGUUGGCUAAUCCUGGUCGGACAUCAGGAGGUUAGUGCAAUGGCAUAAGCCAGCUUGACUGCGAGCGUGACGGCGCGAGCAGGUGCGAAAGCAGGUCAUAGUGAUCCGGUGGUUCUGAAUGGAAGGGCCAUCGCUCAACGGAUAAAAGGUACUCCGGGGAUAACAGGCUGAUACCGCCCAAGAGUUCAUAUCGACGGCGGUGUUUGGCACCUCGAUGUCGGCUCAUCACAUCCUGGGGCUGAAGUAGGUCCCAAGGGUAUGGCUGUUCGCCAUUUAAAGUGGUACGCGAGCUGGGUUUAGAACGUCGUGAGACAGUUCGGUCCCUAUCUGCCGUGGGCGCUGGAGAACUGAGGGGGGCUGCUCCUAGUACGAGAGGACCGGAGUGGACGCAUCACUGGUGUUCGGGUUGUCAUGCCAAUGGCACUGCCCGGUAGCUAAAUGCGGAAGAGAUAAGUGCUGAAAGCAUCUAAGCACGAAACUUGCCCCGAGAUGAGUUCUCCCUGAGACUUAGAGUCUCCUGAAGGAACGUUGAAGACGACGACGUUGAUAGGCCGGGUGUGUAAGCGCAGCGAUGCGUUGAGCUAACCGGUACUAAUGAACCGUGAGGCUUAACCUU